UGGGGAAUAUUGCGCAAUGGGCGAAAGCCUGACGCAGCGACGCCGCGUGAGGGAUGAAGGUUUUCGGAUCGUAAACCUCUGUCAGAAGGGAAGAAACCGCACUGUGCUAAUCAGCAGUGCCUUGACGGUACCUUCAAAGGAAGCACCGGCUAACUCCGUGCCAGCAGCCGCGGUAAUACGGAGGGUGCAAGCGUUAAUCGGAAUUACUGGGCGUAAAGCGCACGUAGGCUGCUUUGUAAGUCAGGGGUGAAAUCCCACAGCUCAACCGUGGAACUGCCUUUGAUACUGCUUAGCUUGAAUCCGGGAGAGGGUGGCGGAAUUCCAGGUGUAGGAGUGAAAUCCGUAGAUAUCUGGAGGAACAUCAGUGGCGAAGGCGGCCACCUGGACCGGUAUUGACGCUGAGGUGCGAAAGCGUGGGGAGCAAACAGG
This 429-nucleotide ribosomal RNA is filed under the name Fusobacteriota bacterium. RNAcentral's name for it is "Fusobacteria bacterium partial 16S ribosomal RNA". It matches the Rfam family "Bacterial small subunit ribosomal RNA", at positions 355 to 776 of the family's 1533-position model. The record is from RNAcentral. Lineage: Bacteria; Fusobacteriati; Fusobacteriota.